Long non-coding RNA from Bombina bombina (fire-bellied toad), 687 nucleotides. RefSeq lists it as uncharacterized. The record is from RefSeq and is a predicted model, not a curated record. The transcript is spliced from 2 exons. Lineage: Eukaryota; Metazoa; Chordata; Amphibia; Anura; Bombinatoridae.
CGAUCACAGAGCACUUACUCUGGUGAGCUAAAGAUUUUGAGCUUUCAAAAUGUGGAAAAUGCAAGAUGAUGAAGCCCUGAGUUCAGCCCGGAAAGGGGGAGGGGCGAAACGCGUAAUGCUGUGAACAAGACACAGUGUGGAGGACGCCAGCAUGGUGGAUAUGCUGUGAAUCUGGCGAUAUCAAGUUUACACAACUAAGCAAGUGAAGAGCUGCAUAGGCGGAAUACAUCGCUGUAAGCCACACCACGGAUGAGAUCCUGUCAGGUAAUACCGUAGAGUGUGUGAAGAGAGCGGAGGUAAGCCAUGCAGUAAUAAGUCUUGCACUCUGAAAGUUUGAAGUUUGAUUUGUCAUUUGCACAUGGGAUUAAGUUUUCAACAGUACAAGUACCACUCUUGGACUCUCAUAUUAUAUUUUCUAAUCCGGUACCGGAUCAAAUAUACACAUAUGGGAUAUCAAGGACGGUGUUCUGUCUAAUCUACAACCGGAGCGUGUUCUUAACACUCAAGUGCCCGGUAUUAGGAAUGGACUUUCUCAUGAGUCGACAUUAACCUUGCAUAUGCUAGCUCACAGUUAUCAGUAGUGCACUACGCUUGUUAUUUGUUUGUGUGCUGUAUCCUUGUUCUUGCCAUCAUUCUCAGCAUGUACCUUUUUUGGCUAUGUUUUUAUUAAAAUGUAUAUGUUCAGCA